Molecule: ribosomal RNA, 402 nt
Filed under: uncultured bacterium
Lineage: Bacteria
Description: bacterial SSU rRNA
Rfam family: Bacterial small subunit ribosomal RNA
Source: RNAcentral
AGCGAACGCUGGCGGCGCGCCUAAUACAUGCAAGUCGAGCGAGAAGACGUAGCAAUACGUUUGUAAAGCGGCGAACGGGUGAGGAAUACAUGGGUAACCUACCCUCGAGUGGGGAAUAACUAGCCGAAGGUUAGCUAAUACCGCGUACGCUCCUUGGACUUCGGUUCAGGGAGGAAAGCGAUACCGUGGGUAUCGCGCUCUUGGAUGGGCUCAUGUCCUAUCAGCUUGUUGGNGAGGUAACGGCUCACCAAGGCUUCGACGGGUAGCUGGUCUGAGAGGACGAUCAGCCACACUGGCACUGCGACACGGGCCAGACUCCUACGGGAGGCAGCAGUAAGGAAUAUUGCGCAAUGGGCGAAAGCCUGACGCAGCGACGCCGCGUGGGGGAGUGAAGGUCUUCGG